GAUCCUGGCUCAGAUUGAACGCUGGCGGCAGGCCUAACACAUGCAAGUCGAACGGUAACAGGAAGAAGCUUGCUUCUUUGCUGACGAGUGGCGGACGGGUGAGUAAUGUCUGGGAAACUGCCUGAUGGAGGGGGAUAACUACUGGAAACGGUAGCUAAUACCGCAUAACGUCGCAAGACCAAAGAGGGGGACCUUCGGGCCUCUUGCCAUCGGAUGUGCCCAGAUGGGAUUAGCUAGUAGGUGGGGUAACGGCUCACCUAGGCGACGAUCCCUAGCUGGUCUGAGAGGAUGACCAGCCACACUGGAACUGAGACACGGUCCAGACUCCUACGGGAGGCAGCAGUGGGGAAUAUUGCACAAUGGGCGCAAGCCUGAUGCAGCCAUGCCGCGUGUAUGAAGAAGGCCUUCGGGUUGUAAAGACCUUUCAGCGGGGAGGAAGGGAGUAAAGUUAAUACCUUCGCUCAUUGACGUUACCCGCAGAAGAAGCACCGGCUAACUCCGUGCCAGCAGUCGCGGUAAUACGGAGGGUGCAAGCGUUAAUCGGAAUUACUGGGCGUAAAGCGCACGCAGGCGGUUUGUUAAGUCAGAUGUGAAAUCCCCGGGCUCAACCUGGGAACUGCAUCUGAUACUGGCAAGCUUGAGUCUCGUAGAGGGGGGUAGAAUUCCAGGUGUAGCGGUGAAAUGCGUAGAGAUCUGGAGGAAUACCGGUGGCGAAGGCGGCCCCCUGGACGAAGACUGACGCUCACGUGCGAAAGCGUGGGGAGCAAACAGGAUUAGAUACCCUGGUAGUCCACGCCGUAAACGAUGUCGACUUUGCAGGUUGUGCCCUUGAGGCGUGGCUUCCGGAGCUAACGCGUUAAGUCGACCGCCUGGGGAGUACGGGCGCAAGGUUAAAACUCAAAUGAAUUGACGGGGGCCCGCACAAGCGGUGUAGCAUGUCGGUUU
RNAcentral lists this ribosomal RNA (945 nucleotides) under uncultured bacterium. RNAcentral describes it as "bacterial SSU rRNA". It matches the Rfam family "Bacterial small subunit ribosomal RNA", at positions 15 to 948 of the family's 1533-position model. The record is from RNAcentral.